UACGUAGGUCCCGAGCGUUGUCCGGAUUUAUUGGGCGUAAAGCGAGCGCAGGCGGUUAGAUAAGUCUGAAGUUAAAGGCUGUGGCUUAACCAUAGUACGCUUUGGAAACUGUUUAACUUGAGCUCGCCAACGAGGGGAGAGUGGAAUUCCAUGUGUAGCGGUGAAAUGCGUAGAUAUAUGGAGGAACACCGGUGGCGAAAGC
Molecule: ribosomal RNA, 202 nt
Filed under: uncultured Streptococcaceae bacterium
Lineage: Bacteria; Bacillati; Bacillota; Bacilli; Lactobacillales; Streptococcaceae
Description: partial 16S ribosomal RNA
Rfam family: Bacterial small subunit ribosomal RNA
Source: RNAcentral